This 253-nucleotide ribosomal RNA is filed under the name uncultured prokaryote. RNAcentral describes it as "partial 16S ribosomal RNA". It matches the Rfam family "Bacterial small subunit ribosomal RNA", at positions 524 to 776 of the family's 1533-position model. The record is from RNAcentral.
UACGAAGGGGGCUAGCGUUGCUCGGAAUCACUGGGCGUAAAGCGCACGUAGGCGGCUUGUUAAGUCAGGGGUGAAAUCCUGGAGCUCAACUCCAGAACUGCCUUUGAUACUGGCGAGCUUGAGUACGGAAGAGGCGAGUGGAAUUCCUGGUGUAGCGGUGAAAUGCGCAGAUAUCAGGAGGAACACCAAUUGCGAAGGCAGCUCGCUGGGACGUUACUGACGCUGAGACGCGAAAGCGUGGGGAGCAAACAGG